RNAcentral lists this unclassified non-coding RNA (350 nucleotides) under soil metagenome. Its description in RNAcentral is "partial contains 5.8S ribosomal RNA, internal transcribed spacer 2, and large subunit ribosomal RNA". The stretch from base 1 to 120 matches the Rfam family "5.8S ribosomal RNA", at positions 35 to 154 of the family's 154-position model. The record is from RNAcentral.
GAUGAAGAACGCAGCGAACUGCGAUAAGUAAUGUGAAUUGCAGAAUUCAGUGAAUCAUCGAGUCUUUGAACGCACAUUGCGCCCCCUGGCAUUCCGGGGGGCAUGCCUGUCCGAGCGUCAUUGCUGCCCUUCAAGCCCGGCUUGUGUGUUGGGUCGUCGUCCCCCCCGGGGGACGGGCCCGAAAGGCAGCGGCGGCACCGCGUCCGGUCCUCGAGCGUAUGGGGCUUUGUCACCUGCUCGAUUAGGGCCGGCCGGGCGCCAGCCGGCGUCUCAAACCUUCUAUUUUACCAGGUUGACCUCGGAUCAGGUAGGGAUACCCGCUGAACUUAAGCAUAUCAAUAAGCGGAGGA